GAUAAACGCUGGCGGCGUGCCUAAUGCAUGUAAGUCGCACGCGCGACAUUCGGGUCGCGAGUGGCGAACGGCUGAGGAACACGUACGAACCUGCCCAUUCGUGGGGAAUAACGCGCGGAAACGUGUGCUAAUACCGCGUACGCUGGGGCAACCCAGGAAAGCCGCAAGGCGCGGAUGGAGGGGCGUGCGGCCCAUCAGGUGGUUGGCGGGGUAACGGCCCACCAAGCCUUUGACGGGUAGCUGGUCUGUGAGGACGAUCAGCCAGACUGGGACUGCGACACGGCCCAGACACAUACGGGUGGCAGCAGCAAGGAAUCUUCUACACUGGGCGCAAGCCCGAUAGAGCAACGCCGCGUGGAGGAUGACGGCUCUCGGGUUGUAAACUCCUUUCAGGGGGGACGAAACGGACGGUACCCCCAGAAGCAGCCCCGGCUAACUCUGUGCCAGCAGCCGCGGUAAUACAGAGGGGGCAAGCGUUGUCCGGAUUGACUGGGCGUACAGCGCGCGCAGGCGGCCCGGGACGUGCCGUGUGACAGCGCGGAGCUCAACUCCGCGUGGUCACGGUAGACGCCCGGACUGGAGGCCGAGAGAGGGAUGUGGAAUGCCUGGUGGAGCGGUGAAAUGCGUAGAGAUCAGGCGGAACACCAGCGGCGAAGGCGGCAUCCUGGCUCGGACCUGACGCUGAGGCGCGAGAGCGUGGGGAGCGAACCGGAUUAGAUACCCGGGUAGUCCACGCUGUAAACGAUGUGAACCCGGUGCUGGGCGGAGAUUGCGCCGCUCGGUGCCCCAGCUUACGCGAUGAGUUCACCGCCUGGGGACUACGGCCGCAAGGCUAAAACUCAAAGGAAUUGACGGGGGCCCGCACAAGCAGCGGAGCGUGUGGUUUAAUUCGACGCGACACGCAGAACUUUACCCAGGCUUGACAUGCACCUGCAUAGUAGUGAAAGCUGCUAGCCUUCGAGGGUGGUGCACCGGUGCUGCAUGGCUGUCGUCAGCUCGUGUCGUGAGAUGUUGGGUUAAGUCCCGCAACGAGCGCAACCCUUGCCCUGUGUUACAUGUGUCACGGGGGACUGCCGCUGCAUGGCAGCGGAGGAAGGCGGGGAUGACGUCAAGUCCGCAUGGCCCCUACGCCUGGGGCGACACACACGCUACAAUGGCCGGCGGAAUGCGCAGCGAGCCCGCAAGGGGGAGCCAAUCGCGAAGGUCGGUCUCAGUGCAGAUUGGGGGCUGCAACUCGCCCCCAUGAAGGCGGAGUUGCUAGUAACCGCGUGACAGCAGAGCGCGGUGAAUACGUACCCGGGCCU
RNAcentral lists this ribosomal RNA (1304 nucleotides) under uncultured bacterium. Its description in RNAcentral is "bacterial SSU rRNA". It matches the Rfam family "Bacterial small subunit ribosomal RNA", at positions 28 to 1381 of the family's 1533-position model. The record is from RNAcentral.